RNAcentral lists this ribosomal RNA (380 nucleotides) under uncultured Gammaproteobacteria bacterium. Its description in RNAcentral is "bacterial SSU rRNA". It matches the Rfam family "Bacterial small subunit ribosomal RNA", at positions 138 to 515 of the family's 1533-position model. Lineage: Bacteria; Pseudomonadati; Pseudomonadota; Gammaproteobacteria. The record is from RNAcentral.
GGGGGAUACCCGGGGAGACGCAGCUAAACCGCAUACGCCCCACGGGGGAGGAGGGGGAUCCUUCGGGACCUCUCGCUAUUGGAUGAGCCCGCGUCGGAUUAGCUAGUUGGUAGGGUAAAGGCCUACCAAGGCGACGAUCCGUAGCUGGUCUGAGAGGACGACCAGCCACACUGGGACUGAGACACGGCCCAGACUCCUACGGGAGGCAGCAGUGGGGAAUAUUGGACAAUGGGCGAAAGCCUGAUCCAGCAAUGCCGCGUGUGUGAAGAAGGCCUGAGGGUUGUAAAGCACUUUCAAUUGGGAAGAAAAGCUUAAGGUUAAUAACCUUAGGUCUUGACGUUACCUUUAGAAGAAGCACCGGCUAAAUCCGUGCCAGCAGC